UUAUUGGUCUGAACAUUUCAACAUAUAUAUAUAAAUACUACUGGAAAAAAGAACCUAGGCAACGAAAUUAUAUUAAUUUCGUAGCCUAAGUGGGACUUAGACGACGGAAAACAGUUUCGUAGCCUAAGAAAGACUUAGGCGACGAAAAUGUAUUCUGUGGUCUAAGAAUCUCUUAGACGACGGAAAUAUAUACUUAGGCGACGAAAUUAUUUUUUAAAAAAAUAAAAAUAAAAAUAAAUUACUUAGGCGACGGAAAUGUAUUCCUUGGUCUAAGAAUCGCUUAAACGACGGAAAAAUUUACUUAGGCGACGAAAUUAUUAUUUUUAAAAAUAAAAAAAUAAUAAUUAAUUACUUACGCGACGAAAGUAUAACUUUUCGUCGCCUAACUACCGAAAUUUUUAGCGGCAACAUUUCCGCCAAAACAUUUCACGAAAACUCAAACCAAAAAUUUUAAAAAUUUUAUUUUCUUUUUAACUUAAACUCUACCCUCACUCUCCUAAAAAAGCUCCACCCUCACCCAAAAAAUUAACUCUCUCACUCUCCCUUCAUACCAUCCCUCUCCUCUUCUCGAGGCCUCACUCUCUUUAACUCCGUCUGCCGUCGUCAUCUCCGGCGUAGCGUUGCCGGUUCCGGCUGCCGCACGCCACAAGAUCACCACCAAAACGUCCACUUUUCCCUCCUCUACCUCCUCAUACUCACCAGGUCGACAUGUAUCCACUCUCCAAGGAGAUCAAAGCCGAGGUAGCACGGCGGAGUUCGCCGAUUUCAGGGGAGCUUGGGCAACGACAGCAACUUCGGUGAGUAGGGUUUCUUUCCUCUUCUCUUCUUCUUCCGGUCCAUGUCUUUAAUAUUUGGAUUGGAGCCCUAAUGUGAAAAUCCCCUUUUCUACCAUUUUUCUAGGUUUGUUGAGGUCGUUUUUCGGCGAGGCUUCUGGUGAGACCAGACGAGGACACACGGGUCAAUGACGCCGUCGUCGGCGGCGGCGGCGGCUCCCGGGUCGGCCCGGUCGGGGGCGAGCGAGGACUGACAGCCGAGAGUGAAGCGGGCCGUGGCGGUCCAUUCGGGUUCGGAGCUUACAGAGUAGAGGGAGAGAAAUAGGUAAGGUUGGUUUGGAUAGGAAUAAAUCAAAGGUGGUUGAUUUGAGGAAGAGACUAGGACUGAUUCAUGAUCGGGCCAUAUUUUCGUGCUGGGAUUUGCCUGAUCUGUGCUAGGAUUUGCCGGAUCGGUGGUGGUAUUUGGGGCAGAGGCCGCUGCGGCGGUGAUGUCAAUUUUUAUUUUUUAUUUUUUCAAACUUAGCGAUGGAAUCCAAUAAUUCCGUCGCCUAGGGGAAAAAUAAUUUUUUUUGUCAUUAAACAAUAUCCAUCGCCUAAGUGCUUAGGAGACGAAAAAAUUCCAUCGCCUAAGUACUUAGGAGACGGAAAAAAUUCCGUCGCCUAAGUAAUUCUUAGUCGACGAAACUUAAUUUUUCGUCGCCCUAACACUUACCUCACAUCACUUAGGCGACGGAUCUUAGGCGACAGAUAUUUCGUCGUCUAAGUACUUAAGAGAUGAAUUUUGUUACUUAGGAGACGAAACUAUUCCGUCUCCUAAGUGACUUUUUCCAAUAGUACAAAUGAAUAAUUCUCAUAAUUAAAGGAUACCCUAAUAAAUAAGUAUCCAAAUUAGAUGCGCAGACAUUUUUUUUUGUUUUAUUACGCACAAGAAUCUUAUGAUCCAAUCCACACUCAUAGUUAUUGAGAAUCACCAUUUUAGGGCAUAUUAAACUAAAUGACUCUAGACUACUUGGAAGUCAUUCAACUAAAAGGCCUCUACCAAAGAAAAUUCACUCCGGCUUCUCCGGAGUUGAGAAUACCGAAACCCUAGUUUCAUGUGCAAGGCAGUGGCAACGCUUGUUUCCAGGGACGGAACUAGGAUUGGAAAAUAGGGUAGGCUAAUUUUCUUUAGUGUUUCAUGUAUUGGGUGAAGCCAAUUUUUUGUUUUGUUUUUGGGGUCUCCAUAAAACUUCCACUAUAGAUGUCAGGACUCACCCCAAAUUUCACCUUGAAACCCGAGGUAAAUUCUGCGGGGUCCACCUUUAAGGAAAAUUAACCGAAAAUUCGGCAUAAUCUUCCUUGAAAAUGGACAACCCUUACCUGAAAAAUCCAACUUAACACUUCUAUAAACAAACAUCCAUCCUCAACACCUGGAGCCUUCCUGCUCCCCAAGUUCAUCACAUCUCCCAAUAUAACAAUUACUCAACUAAACUAAAUCCACAACCAACAAUAACCAAAAUUAAUUCACUAACUGGUUAUCAGAGCAUAUCUAAAGUUAAACGAAAAACAAUGACUAAAGAAUAAGCGGAAGCAGCCUCUGACUAUGCCUCGACUCCAUGUACACUCGACCUCAAAUAACUUAGCCUGCAAACUGGGCAUUUAAAACCAAAUGGCCCAGGGGAAAGUAAUUUUAAAACGUUAGAGUGAGUGGACAAAAAAAAUAAUUGAAAUAAUUUAACAAUACGCAAUUUAAUCUUUUCCACAUUUCAACUUUAAAAGCUUUUAACUGCACGCAAUUUUGAUAAAUCAAAUAGCUUAAAUCGAGAAACCCAUAUGAAUGGACAAACCAGCCCCGCUGGUUAAUAAAAUAAAGAAAUCUCGUAAGAAGAGAUAAACCAGCCCCGCUGGUUAAUCAAAUAAAUUACUGAGAAGAAUAAAAUAAGGGGAAGAGUUAUCACCAUGUAAAAAGAGCCUCCCAAGCUAUAAUAGCGUUCCACGCUAAGCGCUCUACUCACCUAUAGUGAGUAGCCACUAAUAAUGGCUAGCUAACAAAUAAAUAUAAAUACCGAUUGGUUGCCUCCCAAGCUAUAAUAGCGUCCCACGCUAAGCGCUCUACUCACCUAUGGUGAGUAGCCGCUAAUAAUGGUUAGCUAGCAGUAAUCAAUAUAAGCGACCCUAUAUUAUGGUGACUAAAAAAAAAACACGAAAACACUUAAAUCCAUUAAUCUUCCCCAAGAUCAUAUGAAUGGUACGGUUCCCAACCGUACUUGAAAAUCAUCAU
This 3033-nucleotide long non-coding RNA is filed under the name Fragaria vesca (wild strawberry). RNAcentral's name for it is "long non-coding RNA (FVES_LNC001658)". Lineage: Eukaryota; Viridiplantae; Streptophyta; Magnoliopsida; Rosales; Rosaceae. The record is from RNAcentral.